AUAUUGCGCAAUGGCCGCAAGGCUGACGCAGCGACGCCGCGUGGAGGAUGACGGCCUUCGGGUUGUAAACUCCUGUUGCCCGGGACGAACCGCCGGAUUAGUCCGGCCUGACGGUACCGGGUGAGGAAGCACCGGCUAACUCCGUGCCAGCAGCCGCGGUAAUACGGAGGGUGCGAGCGUUGUCCGGAAUCACUGGGCGUAAAGGGCGCGUAGGCGGUGGGAUAAGCGUGUGGUGAAAGCCCGGGGCUCAACUCCGGGUCUGCCGUGCGAACUGUUUCACUCGAGCACUGUAGAGGCAGGUGGAAUUCCGGGUGUAGCGGUGGAAUGCGUAGAGAUCCGGAAGAACAUCGGUGGCGAAGGCGGCCUGCUGGGCAGUGUCUGACGCUGAGGCGCGACAGCGUGGGGAGCAAACAGG
RNAcentral lists this ribosomal RNA (415 nucleotides) under uncultured bacterium. Its description in RNAcentral is "bacterial SSU rRNA". It matches the Rfam family "Bacterial small subunit ribosomal RNA", at positions 361 to 776 of the family's 1533-position model. The record is from RNAcentral.